GACAGGUGCUGCAUGGCUGUCGUCAGCUCGUGUUGUGAAAUGUUGGGUUAAGUCUCGCAACGAGCGCAACCCCUAUCUUUAGUUGCCAGCGUUAAGUUGGGCACUCUAGAGAGACUGCCUGGGUUAACCGGGAGGAAGGUGGGGAUGACGUCAAGUCCUCAUGGCCCUUAUGCCUAGGGCUACACACGUAAUACAAUGGUUGAUACAAAGGGAAGCGAUCGCGCGAGCGUUAGCAAAUCUCAGAAAGUCAAUCUCAGUCCGGAUUGGAGUCUGCAACUCGACUCCAUGAAGUUGGAAUCGCUAGUA
This 306-nucleotide ribosomal RNA is filed under the name uncultured Peredibacter sp. Its description in RNAcentral is "bacterial SSU rRNA". It matches the Rfam family "Bacterial small subunit ribosomal RNA", at positions 1033 to 1340 of the family's 1533-position model. Lineage: Bacteria; Pseudomonadati; Bdellovibrionota; Bacteriovoracia; Bacteriovoracales; Bacteriovoracaceae. The record is from RNAcentral.